RNAcentral lists this ribosomal RNA (3318 nucleotides) under Triticum aestivum (bread wheat). RNAcentral's name for it is "partial small subunit ribosomal RNA". Lineage: Eukaryota; Viridiplantae; Streptophyta; Magnoliopsida; Poales; Poaceae. The record is from RNAcentral.
CUAGCUGAGCUAGACGAGCGUAGUUAGCGAACCCCGCAGUAGCGACGGUGGCCUCGGAGGCGGUGGCCACAGGGUGUGGCCUCGACGGCGUCCGCAUCGCCGGCGGCGCCGCGGCGCUGGCCGUUGCGGUAGGGCGCGACCUGGAGAAGAAGAGAGGAAGGGCUAGAGCGCCACCCUAACGUCGCCGGCUCACUUCCUCUGGGUUUCCUCUCCCCUAUAGGUCCGUGGCCUCUCCUCCCCUGCCUCCUCCUCCUCCUCCUCCUCCUCCUUCUUCCACCGGAGCGUGCGUAGUCGAAACAGGAAGGGUACGGUCUGAGCGGGUGCAAGCCAACGACAAGAACUAGGUUGCGGGGCCACGUGUGUUCCACAAACUCCUUUAUACUACUGAAGCUCUAGUUCUAGACUACGUAAAUAAGUCAGGGUACACAGACUGGUACUUUCUUCUAACUUACUGGACUUAAUAUCUCAGUCUGUUCAAUUAGAUGGAGUUUACCUUACGUAAUUACGAUAGUUUGUUUAAUUUCGUCUUCGAAGUUUGUCCCUAUUUAAUCUUGUGAAGUGAUACUUAAGGUCUCGACUUCUUCUACAACUGAAUUCCUCGGUACUCCCUUCACCACUCCUUUGACUUAGUUUUCUACUUCUUCUACUGCCACUUGUACCACUACUUUGACUUAGUCUUCUACUUCUUCCACUCAGACCUGUUCUUCUACUUGUACUUGUUCUUCUCCUUCAAGCUGUUCUUGUCCUCGUUUGUGUACUUCAACAUCUCUUCUGUUCUUCUCCUGGAUGAGUGUACUCCGCGAAGACCUUUCUUGUACUACAACUAUUGUUCUAGUUAAACUUCAAGUUGUCUAAACCAGUCGGUACACCAAACUUCUGUACGUUCGACUGUUUAAAAUAACCUUGGGAUCACUUUCCUUUUCUUUACAGGAAUCGACGAGUUUUGACCUCGUUUCAUGGUUUCAAUCUCUUUCUUUUCAACACCCUAAGACAGUUCCGGAAAAAGUUGUAACUACUCAGUAUGUUUUCUACCCACAACUCUAGUCGGUCAUUUUUUACCUUUCUGAAGUUCCAACAAAAUUUCUCCUUUAUAAUGUUUCGACUAAACAGUGCCCGUGCCUUAUAAGAAUUACCAACACUAUUAUCUUAGGGUUAACCUGUCACCCUCACCGAUCAUUUUGUGACCUCUUGUCUUUUUCGAUUCCUUUUUAGACUCUCUUUGUUUCGGUGAGCCCGUAGCGUUGAGCUCCCUACGUUCCCCUGGGUGUGGCGACCCAGUGCUUCAAAACGUCAACAGGAACUAGUUUACCUCUACCAUCUCCCAUCUCUUUAACCCGCACGGCUCGAAAUGCACCAAUGCGUAUGUUUUUUGUUACCUAUAGGUCAGUUGGUUGUUUCGCCUCAUUUUUACCUACUGUAAUUUUUUUCCUAAGCCCUUCUAGGAAGAAACUAACCACUCCUCCGGGCACUACCACUAGAAAUAAGUAGUUAAAAGGGUUUUCUUUUCUUUCCUUCCGGUUCACCGGAACCAGAUAAUCAUCCACCUCAGCGAAGCCUCGCGGAACGAGUUCAACUUCGACUUGAUGUACGACGAUUUGUUCUCUUGUACCUCGAAGCCGUACACCACGUAUGAGACCACCGUUUAGUUUGAAGUUAUUACCGGUUCUCACUCUCUUACGUUCUUGUCAUGUUACUCGAUUUUUCAAACUAGUAUCGAAGAUCCCCCAGACAACUUUACCCUCUCUAAGGUCUUUUCCUCGAAGGUUUAUUUCUAGGAAGAUUCCUGAACCUUUUGUACUUACUGCUUCUUGUUCGUUGAAGUGAAAGUAUAUGAUGGUUCCGUAGGCUCCGUUACCGACGAGGUUCCGUAGGUCUAUUCCACUUCCGUUGGGUUGACCUUAGUUCCUAUUGUCUUAGUCGUGAUGGUUCAGAACGCGGACACGGUUUUAACUUCUUCUGUUUCUGUUGAUUUGUAUUCUUCGGUCCUUAUAAAGUUUGUGGUGAGGUUUUCCCCGGUUUCCUGCUUAAUUUUCUAUGGUAUUUCACACCGUACCUUCAAUCAAACUGCAGUGGUUUGUCACGUUCACACCACCGUUACCCUUGGUAGGUCUUUUGACUAUCUUUUCGAUUUCGAUAACUACCAGUUGGUGAUCGACUAACACAACUUCAUGAACAGUUGUAGCACGAGUUUCUUUGUUGACUCGACGGAGCACGUGUUCCCUUUUAUUUGUCCGAUCCUUUACGGGUUCGAUCCACAUAAGGUACCGGUGCGUUUUUAUAAUACGUUUGUCUGGCAUGAUGGCACGACGUAAGAUUCCAAAGAUCACAAACAUCAGUCCACAGAAAGUUGUUAUCGCUCUUACACCUAGGGUUGUUUUGUUGAUGACCUUGAGUCCACUGGUUGGUACUCUGACCAACGUCAUGAAGUCUUCCACGUCACUCAUUAUGUGACUUCUCUUUCUUCCAAAGAUUUUGUUGUUCUUACUUUUUUCGAUGAGUUCGUUAGAGACGAUGUUGGCCUUUGUUGUAUGAAUCCUUAAGCCCGUCCCUUUGUACUUUCUACCAGUAUCUUCGGAUCUUUACGACCAUGUGACGAGUUCCAACUUCAACUUCCACUGUGUAGCGACUAAACGAACGGGAACACACACGGGCAGAUUCUAACCGAACGAGAAUACGACCAUGUGACGACUAACCUAACGAGAACGUAGUUCGACCUUGUGAACAAGCAUAACAACAGUGUUGUAAUCCUUCACUGGACACACAAAGACUAACUAUGAAACUAUAACAAAGACUUAAACACUUCUACAAGACUACCACUACGAAACGUAAUAAGCGUACGUGCUACUAUGAAGAUCGGCUACGUUCGAAGAGUUAGAAAAAAAGAUAACAUACACACAAAAAUGUCUCGAUCUACGUUUAAUAAUUCGAACAACAUUAUCACCAAAAUAGUAUAAGAAUAAUACGUAUACAUUUCAAACACCGUAAGAAUACACGGGACCUUUGUAAAACCUCCGUUAUGUUUUCUGCGGUGUAUUACCAAAACGCCGUAAGAAAUCUUUACGGUGUUUUUACAGAACUUCCGUCAUACUCUCUACGGACCGUAUUAAAAAUCUCCGUAGUACUGUUUACGACGUUUAUCAGAAACCUCCGUAAGAUUUUUUUACGGAAGUUAACUCGAACAACCGCAAGACUUUUUUACGGACGCAAAUUAGAAAAACUCCGUAACACCUUUUUACGGAGUUUAACUUGAACGACCGCAAAAUUUGUACGGAGACACAACUGGAAACCUCCGCAAGAUCUUUUUACGGAGUCUUCUGG